RNAcentral lists this ribosomal RNA (468 nucleotides) under uncultured bacterium. Its description in RNAcentral is "partial 16S ribosomal RNA". It matches the Rfam family "Bacterial small subunit ribosomal RNA", at positions 28 to 507 of the family's 1533-position model. The record is from RNAcentral.
GACGAACGCUGGCGGCGUGCUUAACACAUGCAAGUCGAACGGAAAGGCCCUGCUUUUGUGGGGUGCUCGAGUGGCGAACGAGUGAGUAACACGUGAGUAACCUGCCCUUGACUUUGGGAUAACUUCAGGAAACUGGGGCUAAUACCGGAUAGGAGCUCCUGCUGCAUGGUGGGGGUUGGAAAGUUUCGGCGGUUGGGGAUGGACACGCGGCUUAUCAGCUUGUUGGUGGGGUAGUGGCUUACCAAGGCUUUGACGGGUAGCCGGCCUGAGAGGGUGACCGGCCACAUUGGGACUGAGAUACGGCCCAGACUCCUACGGGAGGCAGCAGUGGGGAAUAUUGCACAAUGGGCGGAAGCCUGAUGCAGCAACGCCGCGUGCGGGAUGACGGCCUUCGGGUUGUAAACCGCUUUCGCCUGUGACGAAGCGUGAGUGACGGUAAUGGGUAAAGAAGCACCGGCUAACUACGUG